Molecule: long non-coding RNA, 109 nt
Organism: Sapajus apella (tufted capuchin)
Lineage: Eukaryota; Metazoa; Chordata; Mammalia; Primates; Cebidae
Exons: 3
Source: RefSeq, a predicted model, not a curated record
UUAUUCAUACAAACAUCAAAAUCCUCAACCAAAUACUAGGAAACUGAAUCUAGCAACAUAUACAAAGAAUUAUACACAAUAACCAAUAGAGAUUUUUCCCAGGAAUACA